AAAUAAUUAAUUUCUCAAAAUUUAGAGACUAAAAAUAUAAUAUAGGGUAAAACUCAAUGAUCAAAUUAUAAAUUCCCCAUAAUGUAAUUUAAUCACAUCCUAUUCAUCUUAUAAUUAAUUAACUGUAAAUAAAAUGUCAUAAUCAACUUUCUUUUUUUCCUCUUCUUUUGAAUGAGAUAAGAUCAGCAAACUACCAGAAUGUUUCUGGUGGAGACAUAUCGUGGACUUUGGUAGACCUAGACUUAUUGUUUAUAAUUUUCUCUAUUAUUUAUAAAUUUUUUAAUUUUAAAAUAAUAUAAAUUAUAAAAUUUAAAAAUAAAAAAAGAAGAAAACCCAUUUUCAGGUUUAUGAAUUUUAUUUUUGAAAAUAAUUUUUCAAGUAUUAUUUUUUUUAAUCUAUUUAAUGAAUAAGUGAUGAUUAAAGAAGUGGAGGAAAUUGCUAACCU
Molecule: unclassified non-coding RNA, 445 nt
Filed under: Hevea brasiliensis (rubber tree)
Lineage: Eukaryota; Viridiplantae; Streptophyta; Magnoliopsida; Malpighiales; Euphorbiaceae
Source: RNAcentral